UCCAGAGUUUACCAGAGAAAGGGGUGAAUGACUGACAAUACUGGUUAACUCUUGCAAUAGAGAGGUGGACAGAUCAGUGGUGAGAGAAAGAAGGUGUUGUGUAGCGAGGCCGCUGGAGAGGGGAGGCAUGCACGUGAGGCACACUCCAUACAUGGGCGAGUAUGGCCCCUGUACAGAGUUAGCAAGCUCUAAGGCCACGGAGACGAGGAGUGCCUGUGUUGUCACCACUGCCUCUAUCAAAGCUACGUGACUCAUUUCCCAUGCAUAUUCUCUCUCUCUCUCUCUCUCUCUCUCUCUCUCUCUCUCUCUCUCUCUCUCUCUCUCUCUCUCUCUCUCUCUCUCUCUCUCUCUCUCUCUCUCUCUCUCUCUCUCUCUCUCUCUCCUCCCCCCUUCCUCUCGCUUUCUCUAUCUCUCUCUCCCGCUGCUUCCUUGGUUUAGUGUUGCCUGUGUUGUGCCCGAAAGCAGUGUUGUAGAUUUUAUUGCGCUGUGCCCGUAAUCAUUGAGUGACCGCCCUGUGCGUGUGUUGCCGCGUCAGGAAGGGAGUGUUGCGUCUCCAGGCACCUCCCGCCUCACGCCUUGCUUCCUCCCGUCUCCCAGAGUCUACACACCUGCACUCUUGAGGCAGGAGUAAGUGGACCUGCUGGUGGACUACAGGCUGAACACAAGCACUGACAAGCAGUACAGGGCAUUUCAUGAUGGCUUCUGCAGGGUGUGGGACGGUACUGUGCUCAAACUUUUCCUGCCAAUGGAACGAACUUAAGGACUUGGUCACCGGCAAUGAAAAUUAUUUCUGGACCGAGUUGGAAAAGAAUGCUGAAUAUAAGAUUAAGUUAGGUUGAGGGUGAGUACUUCCCAGACCAUCCAGUCACUCGCACGUGUUGGGAAGUCUUUCGCAAGCUCUCGCUGGAACAGAAAAUGUUUUUAAGUUUCUGACGGGGACUCACCAGGUGUACUAGGCAUGAGAGAGAGAGAGAGAGAGAGAGAGAGAGAGAGAGAGAGAGAGAGAGAGAGAGAGAGAGAGAGAGAGAGAGAGAGAGAGAGA
Molecule: long non-coding RNA, 1042 nt
Organism: Scylla paramamosain (green mud crab)
Lineage: Eukaryota; Metazoa; Arthropoda; Malacostraca; Decapoda; Portunidae
Exons: 4
Source: RefSeq, a predicted model, not a curated record